GAGAAAAAAAACAGACUCCAGGGACAUGGACAGAAAAUGAUAUUAAAACAUUCCUUUUAUACCAGCCCCGAAGAUAUUUUUGUCAAACAUCGAAUGGAAAUGUAAAAAUAUAUUCAUUUCAUUCACUAAGGAGGGACACAAAUUUUGCUACAAUUUUAUAGUUAGAAAAUUUGGAGAGAGAGUAGAAAACACUUAAAAGGACAAUUGAACAGUGUGUUGAAUGAAUGAGAGUCUGUCUCUGUAGAUGGAAUUCUACAGGCGUCUGUCUGUCCGACAGAGGGGACGGUAUAGUACGGAUUUUUUAUGCAGCUAAAUGGUUGAUUAGAUUACGGCUGUCGGCACCAUUUUUUGUAACAUUGCUCCAAAGAACGCACUCCAAAGAAAGGAGCAGCUCCAGUUUUAUGACUUUGUGAUGAUUUGGUUUUGCGAUUUGAUAUCCUUGUUGGUGUCUAUAGAAGAAGAACAUUAAAAUUAUUGAUUAUUGUGAAUAAGAAAUUUAUAAAAA
Episyrphus balteatus (marmalade hoverfly) is the source of this 505-nucleotide long non-coding RNA. RefSeq lists it as uncharacterized. The record is from RefSeq and is a predicted model, not a curated record. The transcript is spliced from 3 exons. Lineage: Eukaryota; Metazoa; Arthropoda; Insecta; Diptera; Syrphidae.